AAAGUAUGACUUUAGGGGGGGUUGCUAAGGUUGACUUUUGAUACGUUGGGAUUCUCCGAAAACUUCCUUCACGAAAGUUGUAGAGCGCGUCGAUACGAGUUCGUGGACAUGUGGAACGCGUCAAUCGGAGUUCGUAUGAGGAAGUUAUGGCUAUCGGAAGAAGUUUCCGUUUUAGUAUAAAUAUGGAAAAUCAGAAUUUUAUUUCAUUUUCCUCAUUUCCAUUUCCGGAAAUAAUUUUCCUCUCUCUCUUCUCUCUCGUCCGCGCCUUCAGAAACGAAAAUCUUCGACUGACCCGACCCGGACCCGGUCGAUCCGACCCGACUUUUCCGGCGAGCUCCGGCCAUCUCCGGCGACGAGACUUUCCAGAUCAGUUCGCCUCCUCCGUGCGCUCCUCCCUGUGGUGUUCUCUAGCGCCGAUUCUCGGUGGUGACGGCGAUAGAAGGCGGUGCAGAUUGGAGUUUUCGGACCCGACCGGAAAUCCCUAUUCCGACGUCGGAAAGGCUUCGAGUUUUCUUGGUUGAGCUCAGAGCAGCCUCGCCGAUCGAUCCUUGGUGUUUGUUUGGAUCGAUUCACGUGAAACUUCGAUCAACUCAGUUGGGUUUACUGUUCACGGCUUGUGAGGUGCUUCUAAAGGUGAAUUGGACGAGUUGUUGGUGAUAGUUUUGGUUCGGUUCUGUAUAGAAGACGCAGCGGGAGUUUCGAGGGGUUAAUCCUGCAGGGUAGGAUAAUCGGGGCUGAAGCCGAGGUAGCUUGUUGGCAACAGAACAGGUAGG
This is a long non-coding RNA of Rosa rugosa (rugosa rose), 773 nucleotides long. RefSeq lists it as uncharacterized. The transcript has 3 exons. Lineage: Eukaryota; Viridiplantae; Streptophyta; Magnoliopsida; Rosales; Rosaceae. The record is from RefSeq and is a predicted model, not a curated record.